UAGUGGCGAACGGGUGAGUAACACGUGGGCAAUCUGCCCUUCACUCUGGGACAAGCCCUGGAAACGGGGUCUAAUACCGGAUACUGACCCUCGCAGGCAUCUGCGAGGUUCGAAAGCUCCGGCGGUGAAGGAUGAGCCCGCGGCCUAUCAGCUUGUUGGUGAGGUAAUGGCUCACCAAGGCGACGACGGGUAGCCGGCCUGAGAGGGCGACCGGCCACACUGGGACUGAGACACGGCCCAGACUCCUACGGGAGGCAGCAGUGGGGAAUAUUGCACAAUGGGCGAAAGCCUGAUGCAGCGACGCCGCGUGAGGGAUGACGGCCUUCGGGUUGUAAACCUCUUUCAGCAGGGAAGAAGCGAAAGUGACGGUACCUGCAGAAGAAGCGCCGGCUAACUACGUGCCAGCAGCCGCGGUAAUACGUAGGGCGCAAGCGUUGUCCGGAAUUAUUGGGCGUAAAGAGCUCGUAGGCGGCUUGUCACGUCGGUUGUGAAAGCCCGGGGCUUAACCCCGGGUCUGCAGUCGAUACGGGCAGGCUAGAGUUCGGUAGGGGAGAUCGGAAUUCCUGGUGUAGCGGUGAAAUGCGCAGAUAUCAGGAGGAACACCGGUGGCGAAGGCGGAUCUCUGGGCCGAUACUGACGCUGAGGAGCGAAAGCGUGGGGAGCGAACAGGAUUAGAUACCCUGGUAGUCCACGCCGUAAACGGUGGGCACUAGGUGUGGGCAACAUUCCACGUUGUCCGUGCC
RNAcentral lists this ribosomal RNA (743 nucleotides) under Streptomyces tendae. RNAcentral describes it as "bacterial SSU rRNA". It matches the Rfam family "Bacterial small subunit ribosomal RNA", at positions 93 to 847 of the family's 1533-position model. Lineage: Bacteria; Bacillati; Actinomycetota; Actinomycetes; Kitasatosporales; Streptomycetaceae. The record is from RNAcentral.